This 140-nucleotide transfer RNA is filed under the name Pyrolobus fumarii 1A. It matches the Rfam family "tRNA". From Rfam's summary of the family: Transfer RNA (tRNA) molecules are approximately 80 nucleotides in length. Their secondary structure includes four short double-helical elements and three loops (D, anti-codon, and T loops). The record is from Rfam by way of RNAcentral. Lineage: Archaea; Thermoproteati; Thermoproteota; Thermoprotei; Desulfurococcales; Pyrodictiaceae.
GGGCCCGUAGCUCAGCCAGGCAGAGCGCCGGGCUCCAGACCCGCCCGGUCCGCUCCGGGUCUGUCGACCCGUGCGCGGGAUGAGAGAGGUCUGGCGCGGGAGAGACCCGGAGGUCCGGGGUUCGAAUCCCCGCGGGCCCA